Molecule: long non-coding RNA, 1439 nt
Organism: Andrographis paniculata
Lineage: Eukaryota; Viridiplantae; Streptophyta; Magnoliopsida; Lamiales; Acanthaceae
Exons: 4
Source: RefSeq, a predicted model, not a curated record
UUGAAUGAGUUGCCAGAAAUGACGUCCGAAUGUGCAAGGGAUCUCUCUCAACGAUCUUAUAGUUCAGCGAGGCCUUGAUGCGUAGCGGCCAGUCAUUGUAUUCCAUUGCUAUCGCACCAUAGAAUGGAUGGGGUAGCAACCUCGUGUUCCGUCUCUCGUCUCGCCACCGCCUUUUCGUCUCAUCAAGGGUGUAGUGGGGCUAGGGUGCGGCCUGCGGAGAAUCGUUGAUGCUCCUGUAUUCAAUUAGUGCGCCGGGAUUGCUACGGUCAAUGCUCGCCGCCAAGGUCGGAUCCGGAGUUAUCUUUCUGAAGUUACCACUCAUCACAAAGGCUGCUUGCUGAUGAUCCGGCUUUCUCCAAACUCCAAACAACUACAGAAAAUCCAGUAGCUGCACAUUCCUACUAUCAAAUUAACCAAGAUUUGUGCGCUUUUGUGAUGUUGUCUUUCUGCGGCCAUUGCUGGGGGAAUACUUUUUGAUGUCCUGCUAUCAUACGAGGCUGCAUUGUGAUGGGUUCUAGUUUCCGCAAUUUCCAUGUUUGGUGGUUGAAUUUGAGGUGUGUCAUCACCUGCACAGCUUGCUGAAACCUUGCAAUAAGAAAGUGCUCCACACAGUAAGUUCCUCUUUGUUAGACGAUAAUAUGAAAAUGCCCCUAAAUCAUUUUUAUAUAGGAAUAUGCUUUGGUAUACUUAUUUGCCUAUAUGAAUAUCCUUUGUUAUACUUAAAUCAUUUGCCUAUAUGACAUCACUUGCCCAUUUUUUAGAAAACAAUUUAAUGAUUCUAUUGACUGAAUAAUUAUGUGAUGUAAUUAUGCAAGUUUAGAGUAUUGUGGAGACAUUUGAUGUCAUUAAUUGGGAGUUUUGUUAAUAUUUUUUAUAUUUUUUUUUUGUUAAAUGUGAAACACGGUUUGCUGGUGUAGGAUUUACUUAUAUAUAAAUAUAUUAAUUAUAUAUUUAUAUACUAGAACUAACUUUAAUAAAAUAACUUUAAAAAGAAAAAAAAAAAUCUGGAUUAUUAUUAUUAUUUUUUUUAAUUAUUAUUGUUACAUGUGUCAAAUCCUGAUAGAAGGGUGAUUUUGUACAUGUUCUUUUGUUCACACAUAGAUACGUUAUGCUUUCAAAAUUUACAUCAACCAUUUUAUGGAUUUUGUACAUAUUUCUUUUGGCCAUCAAUGAUUAUGCUUUCGGGUGGAGUAUUGAAUUUGGGGAUUGAAUUGAUAGUUGCAAUUGACUGUGAAAAAAGCUUGUUAAUGGUCAUUUGUCCAGGUAUUUCACUAAUGCAAUAUCUUGUUUUAUGUGUAGUUUAUUGUCUAUUUUUGUUGUUUCUUCAAUUCUGUAUUGUAAAUUUUUGUCUGCCAGGUGUGUUUCUAAUUAUAUUUGUAUCUUCACUAUGUUGAUACAUACUCAAGACAUUACUGUAAUAAUAUUUAAGCUAAUAGAUA